GCCAUCCAGUAUGGUGGUUAUCAUCCUCGGCUUGUGACCGAGCGGGUUCGGGUUCGAAUCCCGAGUAAAGCA
Non-coding RNA from Trichonephila clavipes, 72 nucleotides. NCBI's taxonomy places the organism in Eukaryota, Metazoa, Arthropoda, Arachnida, Araneae, Nephilidae. The record is from the annotation of a GenBank genome assembly.